GCUCAGGUGAAGAGAGCUGGAGGAGAGGAAGCAUUGCUGAAUCCUGAGACUCUUCCUAAGGAAGCACUGAUUGCACCACUCCAGAUGCUUAAGACGACUUCGAUCUCUGCCAAUAAAGACACAACAAAGCAACAUUCUGACGGAUGCACUGGCACAAUGGAUCCCAUGUUCAAUCAAGACUGCAUAUCUGGGGGAGUGGAUAAAUGACUAUAUUACCUCUUCCCCAAUGAAAUCUUCAUCUUCCUUAGGAGACUGAAUUAAAGAAUGAAAUGAAUUCUCUUCAGCUCAACACUAGCAUGUGUGGAAAACCAUGUAUACACCUUUGACUGAGAGGUGACUUGUAGGAAAAACAGUAAAAAAAAAAAAAAAAAAAUAGUGUGUUUUAAUUUCCUAUAGUGGAAGACAAGUAGACAAA
Chelonia mydas (Green sea turtle) is the source of this 415-nucleotide long non-coding RNA. RefSeq lists it as uncharacterized. The transcript is spliced from 4 exons. Lineage: Eukaryota; Metazoa; Chordata; Testudines; Cheloniidae. The record is from RefSeq and is a predicted model, not a curated record.